CCCCCCCNAACCCCUGGGGGGGAAAAAAAGGGGGGGGAAUUUUUUUUUUUUCCCAAAAGGGNGGGAUUUNUAAANGNUUGGGGGGNAAANCCCCCCCANGGGGNUUUUUUUUCCCCNAGGUUCCAAGGGAGGGUUUUNUUAAAAAANAGACCGGGCCCNNGGGGAAANUUUUUUAAUUNACCGACCNNCCCCCUUUUAGGGGGNGGAAAUUUNAAAUUUUNNGGGGGNCCGNGGAAUUUUNGCCCCUUUGCYYAACACAUKCAAGUCGAACGAAARAUUGUAGUAAUACCGGUCUUUAGUGGCGAACGGGUGAGUAACGCGUGGGUGACCUGCCCCGAAGUGUGGGAUACCAGUCCGAAAGGACUKCUAAUACUUGCAUAACAUCCAGGAGAUUAGAACCUGCNUGGAUUAAAGGAUUUUUUCGCUUCGGGAGGGGCCUGCGUCCCAUCAGCUAGUUGGUAAGGUAAUGGCUUACCAAGGCGAUGACGGGUAGGGGACCUGAGAGGGUGACCCCCCACAAUGGAACUGAAACACGGUCCAUACACCUACGGGUGGCAGCAGUAGGGAAUAUUAGUAAUGGGCGAAAAGCCUGAACUAGCAACGCCGCNGUGUGCGAAGAAAGGCCUUCGGGUUGUAAAAGCACNUUUUUGAGAGGACGAGGAAGGACGGUACUCUCAGAAUAAGUCUCGSYAACUACGUGCCAGCAGCCGCGGUAAUCAAGGGCGAAUUGUUUAACCUCAGACNGNCCUUUG
This 752-nucleotide ribosomal RNA is filed under the name uncultured bacterium. Its description in RNAcentral is "partial 16S ribosomal RNA". The stretch from base 239 to 727 matches the Rfam family "Bacterial small subunit ribosomal RNA", at positions 36 to 538 of the family's 1533-position model. The record is from RNAcentral.